GAUGAACGCUGGCGGCGUGCCUAAUACAUACAAGUCGAGCGAACAGACGAGGAGCUUGCUCCUCUGACGUUAGCGGCGGACGGGUGAGUAACACGUGGAUAACCUACCUAUAAGACUGGGAUAACUUCGGGAAACCGGAGCUAAUACCGGAUAACAUGUUGAACCGCAUGGUUCAACAGUGAAAGACGGUCUUGCUGUCACUUAUAGAUGGAUCCGCGCCGCAUUAGCUAGUUGGUAAGGUAACGGCUUACCAAGGCAACGAUGCGUAGCCGACCUGAGAGGGUGAUCGGCCACACUGGAACUGAGACACGGUCCAGACUCCUACGGGAGGCAGCAGUAGGGAAUCUUCCGCAAUGGGCGAAAGCCUGACGGAGCAACGCCGCGUGAGUGAUGAAGGUCUUCGGAUCGUAAAACUCUGUUAUUAGGGAAGAACAAAUGUGUAAGUAACUAUGCACGUCUUGACGGUACCUAAUCAGAAAGCCACGGCUAACUACGUG
RNAcentral lists this ribosomal RNA (497 nucleotides) under uncultured bacterium. RNAcentral describes it as "partial 16S ribosomal RNA". It matches the Rfam family "Bacterial small subunit ribosomal RNA", at positions 28 to 507 of the family's 1533-position model. The record is from RNAcentral.